Molecule: long non-coding RNA, 1701 nt
Organism: Pyrus x bretschneideri (Chinese white pear)
Lineage: Eukaryota; Viridiplantae; Streptophyta; Magnoliopsida; Rosales; Rosaceae
Exons: 2
Source: RefSeq, a predicted model, not a curated record
AUAUGUUACACGCUAUGAAACGCGAAUUUAUGUGGGAAACGUGAUGAUUUAUGUGAUGGAUGAAGUGGAAAUGUUAAUCGUCAUGUGGGAUUGUUGUGUUGGAUAUCAUUGUUAUUGUUAUGAUUAGACUUGUUGAUAAAUUUGGCUCGAGAAUUGUAUUGUACAUCGUUGGUUCUUUGAAAUGAUAUAUGUUGUGAAUUGCGGUAUCAUGUUGUGACAUAAUUGACUAUAUAUUGAUGGAGGGGAAAUCAUGAUUUUCAGAUGGGUUGUUAUGUAACCCUGAGUCAAGUAAUUUCAUGCUUGUCGAGUUCUAUUGAUUGAUUGAGAAACAUUAUACCUUUCGACUUAAUUGGACUGUGUUAUAUGUCAAUUAUUGUGCAUGACGAACUACGAAUGGCUUGAUCCCUGUUUAGGGUACGUAGGCAGUCUAACGGGGAGGUUAGAUGCAGCCAUAAAGCAUACGAAAAAUAACUAUGUGAUUCGAUUAUUGAGUUGUGCUUGCCCAUAUCCCGGAGGUGAGAUAGAAUAGAUACGGAUUUUUGGUGAUGUCACGUGUCAAUUCUGGACGUAUGUCGGGAUUGGGGCGUGACAAUAAGUGACUAGGCACUUAAACAUACCCACCCUUGCCACCUCCAGGUUCCAUGUUGCACCAUUAAUUACCAAUAAAAUUGGCAUCUAAAACUCUAAAUAAAUAUUUAUUUUUAAAAUACGGGGUCUCACAAAGUUCUUCCAAGAAUGACUACACAAAAUAUAUGGAUGAACUUGCUCGUCAAGGUGAACUGAGCAUGGCACGAGAAGCGGCUAGAGAUGAGGUAAAAGCUGUGACUAUGCAAGCAAUCUUAGCAGUUACUGAGAAACGUGAUGUGGCUCAUCGAGAAAUGGAGAUGCUUAAAGAAGAAAGGAUGGCUCAAGCUGAUCGUGAUACUAUGAACAAGCCUCUAGAAGGAAUGUCUCCAAAUUUUAAAUUUUUUUGGACAUAAAAAAAGAUGACGUGGUACAAUGGAGGCAUGCAAGAAACGAGGGAACAAGUGGAGGGGGUUCUAGCUACACAAAUCUUAGCAACGAAGAUCCUAGCACACAUAUCCUAGCUCCUCAGACUUUUUACAAGUGGAGUAGCACCUCGUCAAACACUGGAGAUUAGGCAAGGACAUUGAAGUCAUUUUGAGCUCUUGGAGAACUGAAAAAAGCAUAUCAAAUCCAUGUAUCAAAUGAUGCCAUUGCUUCCAAAAUGAUACUUUUGGCUCAUUUUAUGUCGACAUAAGCUCCUUGCCACUCACUUGGACAGUUUUUCCAGGUUCAAGUGCAUACAGUCGAUGCUUCCAAUCAUGCUAGGAAAGUCCUCACAUCUCACCCUUCUUCAAAAGCUUUUGCAUGUCCAUUUUCGUGGGUUUCCGGAGGUACUCAUUGCUGUACAAGGCUUCGAUUGCGGAGCAAGACCUUAUCAGGGACUCCAGAACAGUUGAUUUUCUCAUCCUUGCUAUCUCAUCCACUUGAUCUGCAGAUGCUCCGUAUGUAAGCACCCACAAGGCAGGAUUAAUUUUUUGCUCAGGAAGAAGGCCUAGAACAUGAAACGCAUCAUUUUUUUGCACAACAGUAUGGAUCAUGGUUGCAAUUAGUAAUCAUGAUUUUGUUUAACAAACUUCGUUGCAUUCUAAAACGACGUCUAAAAUAUGAUCAGGGAAUAAACUAUUAGGGAUAAAA